RNAcentral lists this ribosomal RNA (468 nucleotides) under uncultured bacterium. Its description in RNAcentral is "partial 16S ribosomal RNA". It matches the Rfam family "Bacterial small subunit ribosomal RNA", at positions 28 to 507 of the family's 1533-position model. The record is from RNAcentral.
GACGAACGCUGGCGGCGUGCUUAACACAUGCAAGUCGAACGGAAAGGCCCUGCUUUUGUGGGGUGCUCGAGUGGCGAACGGGUGAGUAACACGUGAGUAACCUGCCCUUGACUUUGGGAUAACUUCAGGAAACUGGGGCUAAUACCGGAUAGGUGCUCCUGCUGCAUGGUGGGGGUUGGACAGUUUCGGCGGUUGGGGAUGGACUCGCGGCUUAUCAGCUUGUUGGUGGGGGAGUGGCUGACCAAGGCUUUGACGGGUACCCGGCCUGAGAGGGUGACCGGCCACAUUGGGACUGAGAUACGGACCAGACUCCUACGGGAGGCAGCAGUGGGGAAUAUUGCACAAUGGGCGGAAGCCUGAUGCAGCAACGCCGCGUGCGGGAUGACGGCCUUCGGGUUGUGAACCGCUUUCGCCUGUGACGAAGCGUGAGUGACGGUAAUGGGUAAAGAAGCACCGGCUAACUACGUG